Molecule: non-coding RNA, 128 nt
Organism: Hordeum vulgare subsp. vulgare (domesticated barley)
Lineage: Eukaryota; Viridiplantae; Streptophyta; Magnoliopsida; Poales; Poaceae
Source: Rfam
GAAGUACUCCCUCCGUCCGUCCGAAAAUACUUGUCCUAGAAAUGCACGUAUCUAGACUUAUUUUAGUUAUAGAUACAUUCAUUUUAUUCAUUUUUAAAAUAAGUAUUUCCGAAUGGAGGAAGUAUAUU